This is a long non-coding RNA of Mytilus californianus (California mussel), 838 nucleotides long. RefSeq lists it as uncharacterized. The record is from RefSeq and is a predicted model, not a curated record. NCBI's taxonomy places the organism in Eukaryota, Metazoa, Mollusca, Bivalvia, Mytilida, Mytilidae. The transcript has 3 exons.
ACCCCUCAAAGAGUUGUUGCAAGGGUUCUUAACGUGCAAAGAGCGUGGCACUCUCUUUACACGAGGCAUCGGAUUUAACGUCCCCAUUCUGACCGGACGUGGCUGCAAAUUUGUACAUCCCGCACAGCCAAACGGACGCCCCACUUUAGCACGGGUUUUACUGCCGGUCGGAGGAAGACCAAUGGUGACCAUACUUCUAUACCCCAGUCGCCCUUGGGGUCUAAGUGAGUGUGACGAUCGGCAAUUGUAACACAUGUACUUGAAUUAAAGUUCAACUCUCAAAAUGCAGACAAGUUCAUAGAUAAUAGUAAGGCUUUUCAAAUGAAACUACUUUUUUCGCUUUUUUUCAACAAAGUAUUGCUGUGUAAUUAAAAUGGUAACGCAUAUUUUAGGUUUGAAAAGGGGGGGGGUGUAUUUUUGUUAAUAGCUUUACUCGUAAUUAUAGAAUAAUUUAACUCUGUUAUUAUUUUUAUUUUCUUGAAUCGGAAUUAUUUCAAGACGUACUAUAAGCAUAAGACAAAUGCAAGAUGCUAUGCACCAGAAUAAGACAUUGUUUGCUUGUGUAUGCCAGCUCAGGGAGCUUGUCGAAGCAUGUUAGAAGCACACAUUUACUCAUCAAGUAUCCUUGUGACGUGCGUGGAAAGGAGUAUAAACGAACAGACUCCUUAAUGGUUCACAAGAGGAAGUUGCAUCCAGAGUUAUUCAGGCAAGAAGCACAGCAGACAACAUACACCUGCGACAAGUGUACAGACGGAGAGAGGAGUUUCAAUUACAUCUUCCAGGAAACCAUCAGAUACAGGCUGGAACUCUACCAUUGUCUCCAUCAGCACCAGCACCA